GAAUAUAUGUGGUUUUAGUUUUUUUCAAUUUUGCGAACAAUGUUGUAUAGAAGGGCCUAUUACAUGAUUCUCUAUGGUUUAAGGGUUUAAUUUAAAAAAUUGAAAGUAAAUGGGGCCAUUGGCAACUGCUCCAGACCAGAGCUCAAGAGGUACCUUCCAAAUUCAGCUAUCAACCUCACCUUUUUUUUAGUUUUUCCUGGAAAUGAUGUAUGAUAUUUAUGCAAAUCUUUUCUAGGUAUUCUAUGUUAAUGAUAACUGAAAAUGAUAUCAUCUCAACUUACUGAUAUUUCAUCUUUGCUUGUCAAACAAAAGUUGCAAAUUUCGCAAAUCAGGAAUACGUUGUGUCAGCCUUGAGAUGACUUUUCUUGGUUAAGCAUGCAAAUAAGGUCAACAACCUAUGUUCUUGAGCUGAAAGAACUAUCUAUUCUGUCCCUUUCCAGGAAAAUAUGUUAGGUCAUCCUUGAAAGAUGAUUUAACAUGCAAAUAAGGUCAACCACUUGUAUCGACCUGAUACAUAGGUUAACUAACUUGGUUUUGACUGGUAUUCUGAGUGGAAAAGUAUGUUAGGGGAUUCUUGAAAAUUUUUAUCAUGAAGGAUGCUGAUAAGGUCAAUCACCUGAAUCCAUUUGAUACAGAGAUAAAACUCUCAUGGUCUUUGACCUCACAUGCACACUUUUAUAACCAACAACUAUUGCAUCAUAGAUGUGAAUGUAUAUCAAAAGUUUGAAAUUUUGUUUGGAGUUUCUUGAUGACUAAAUAUUUUUCUGAAAUUUUUUUUUUUAUCUUUUCCUGGAAGUUCUCCUUUGGGCAUCUUGCACAGCUAAAAUAUUUACUUUGUGAAGCCGUGCAAAUCGAUAAAAUUCUUGUGUAUGACAAGAAAACUCUAUUUAUGAAGCCAGAUAUGAGAAUUACGUUGCUAUUUAAUGUGGUAGAGGGUCACCAUGAACUAUCUGAUUAUAUUGCUCUGCACCAACUAUUUGCUUCUAGACUUAUUAAUUACUUUACUGCACAUCCUGAGGUAUUGCUUUGUCCCUAUAUCAGUUUUUCUUUUCUUAUUGACUUUUUGUUUUAAAGCCUCAUAUAAGACAUUUUCAAUCAAUGCCAUUACAAUUAGAAAACGUAUAUCGUUGAUUGUUGAUGAGCGAUGAAUCUGUUGGACGAAUAGGAAUUUAAGAUUGCAAUUUAUAUGUUUGCAAUGCACCAAUUACAAAAUUACAACUGCUUUGAUUCAGUCUACAACAUACUGUAUUAUAAGAGUAAAGUUUGUUGUCUUGGGACAUGUUCUUUGAAGAACAAUGCUAUAUUUAUACAGCAUUGAAGAUAUGGAAAUGCACUUGUACAAGUGCUGAUUGUAAUCAUCAACGGGGAUGCCAGCCAUCUAUUUUAUUCAUGGUUGGAGGGUGACACUAAAUUGAACGGUAUGACUGACUGGACCUUAAAAUUCUCCUCUCUCAUGCAAGUCUUUUUCAGUUCAGGCUUAGCUUUCUGCUUCUUGACUUGAUUUGUUUGGUUCAAUAUAUAUAAAUAUAUAUUUAGCAUCAUUGCAGUUGACGUUAUCUAAGUUUUGAAGAACCGAAGACACGCUUUAUUUAUUUGGUUUUUUUUGCAGGCUUGUGACAUUCCAGAGGCUAUGUUGCCAGAUCCAUUUGAGCAAAGCAAAGAGACUGCUUCUGGGGGCAAGAUCAGUAACAUUCCAGAGGUAAUAUUUCCAAAGCCUCUUAGCCAAAUUGGUGAAACUGCUGCUCCAGAGAAAUUGCUUGCAAAUUCUUCAACAGAAGACCUACAGAUUGCCAUUGAGAAUGAACUGCUGUCAAAAUCAUCCCAUAUGCAUACAUCUUUCAUCAGGCACUUCUCUGAGAAGGUUGUUAACGACAAAGAGAAGACCCAACUAUUAGCUUCUGCAGUUCCUUUGUCAUAUGUGGCACCUUAUAAUUUGAAGAAUCAAGAUACUGAAAUUGUGAAAACUAGAGAAUUUCCUGAUCUGAGUUCCAAAUUUGAUAGUGGGACCAAUCUGGACACCAAAUAUGAGAAAUUAAAAGAGUCUCCUGGCACAAAUUCCAAAUAUACCUCCAUACAACCUAUGCAUAUUCAAGCAAGCAAUCCUCAAUUCUGUGUUAAUAGCAAUGCUUGUGCAAGCCCCCUCUGCAAGCUUGCCUCAUCUGCUGAUAAUUUAAUGGUGGAAACGCCUGCACAGUCAACUCCAAAGAGGGUAACGCCAAAUAGUGAUGAUAACCAUAAGGGCAUAGCCAGCAAAAAGCAGACAUCAUCUUGUAAGGCUGCAAAGAGGUCCUUAGACUUUUCAUUCUUUGAAGGUGAUGAGUCAGAGUACUGUGAAGUUUUACCAGAAAACGUCUCUCAGAUUCUGAAUGUUUCUUCUGCAAAACUUCAAGAGGAAGAGGAGGGACUAGGAUGUGCUGCUGAGGAACAUGAAAUGAAUCAACCAGAUUUAUUGCAUCAGCAGAAUUCUAUUUACUUGCCUGGCCUGGUUUCUUUGAUUCAUCACAUAUUCCAGUCUGUGAACUAUUGUCCAAUCACAAAGGAGGAACUUGUGCAUAAAAUUAUCAUGAACAGUUUUGAUUUUGAUGAAAGAAAGCAAGUCGAAGAGCAGAUUGAGAUUCUUGAAAAGCUGGUUCCAGAUUGGAUUUGUACGAAGCUUGCACCUACAGGAGAUGUUUUGUACAGGUGGAUGUACCAUAUUUCCUUUUAAACUUUCACGUGACUUCUAAGAAUUAAGUGCCAUAAAGACAUAAGAAAAAUAUAAAGAUGAACGUACUUGGGGCUCUUUGGAUAGAAAUGUAUGUGUCCGUUACGGGAAACAUCUUAACUAUUCAAGUAUCUUAAUUGCCCAAAUGAAUCCAGCAGGGAUUCAGGGUAAAGAAAAUGCAACAUUUCCUUUUAGAAGGUAGAAUUAGUUUCAUUGGCUUAUGUGGAAGGAAGAAUGUUCAAGCCUUUUAAAUCUAGAUGUCAUUUAUGGGAGAAAUUUUAGAAUACAAUCGUCGUAAGUAUAAUGGUUUUAUUAUAACUAUCGAUUAUGGUGGAUACCAGUGGAUCUCGUCAUAAUCAUCGUAAUCAAUACAUCUAUCCAUUGUAUACAACUGUUGCAUGGAAUAAUUUCUCGACAUUUGGACUAUGCUACGUCUUUCUUACCUUUUUUUCAUUUUUGAAUGUUAAAAGUUAUUUUCUUUUGUGUCUAUGAUUUACAUUCUUUCGUCUUGUGCAGCAUCAAGAAAUUGUCAGACUUGAACUCUGUUGAGUCUAGGGCUGUCAUCACAUAACAACUCUUAAAGGGGUAUAAUUGAUUAUGCUUGCAGAUAUCUGAUUAGAAGAUGAUGGAUUUUAGAAACUGUUUUCCUUUGUAAUGCAAGGCUAAUGUCACAGACAUUUGUAUUUUGUAUGAUGUGUUUAUUUAACAAAAAUUUUAAAAAUUAAGAAAUUUGUUAAAAACAAUUUAAAACGUAUUAAUCAUUACAUUUAUUUUAAAAUGAAAAGAUAUUUU
Molecule: unclassified non-coding RNA, 3496 nt
Filed under: Hevea brasiliensis (rubber tree)
Lineage: Eukaryota; Viridiplantae; Streptophyta; Magnoliopsida; Malpighiales; Euphorbiaceae
Source: RNAcentral